AGUGGUGUGGUUUCCUGUAGUGUUGUAGAAGGUCAACAUCCAUCAAGAUGGAGGAGGUGAGUGGUGUGGUUUCCUGUAGUGUUGUAGAAGGUCAACAUCCAUCAAGAUGGAGGAGGUGAGUGGUGUGGUUUCCUGUAGUGUUGUAGAAGGUCAACAUCCAUCAAGAUGGAGGAGGUGAGUGGUGUGGUUUCCUGUAGUGUUGUAGAAGGUCAACAUCCAUCAAGAUGGAGGAGGUG
Oncorhynchus keta (chum salmon) is the source of this 236-nucleotide long non-coding RNA. RefSeq lists it as uncharacterized. The record is from RefSeq and is a predicted model, not a curated record. The transcript has 4 exons. Lineage: Eukaryota; Metazoa; Chordata; Actinopteri; Salmoniformes; Salmonidae.